UCUGCGGUGAGUUAAGUACCAUCUGAACUUAACGUUGUAUCAGCCAUACUAGCGCCGCUAAUAUAUCCGCCGUAAUACUCACCAGGUUGGGCUUUGUUGAUGCCUGAUUUACCUUCUGAUGAGAACAAGUAACAUCCACUUCCUCAGACAAUCCGUUACUCGACGGUCAGGUUUUUUUUUCCUCCCCCUUCAACGGAGGAUGGCGAGCUACCCACACACCACCUGGUGGUAGGAAAAGAGACACUUUCCACACAUGAAACAAAAUAAA
This is a long non-coding RNA of Fundulus heteroclitus (mummichog), 268 nucleotides long. RefSeq lists it as uncharacterized. The record is from RefSeq and is a predicted model, not a curated record. The transcript has 2 exons. NCBI's taxonomy places the organism in Eukaryota, Metazoa, Chordata, Actinopteri, Cyprinodontiformes, Fundulidae.